UAAACUAUGCGUAACUGGCGGAGCAUGGGGAACCAUGAGGGAGCGCAUAGAUAAACAUGCCGUACGCCUGGGCAGAGGUA
Molecule: non-coding RNA, 80 nt
Filed under: Paenibacillaceae bacterium GAS479
Lineage: Bacteria; Bacillati; Bacillota; Bacilli; Caryophanales; Paenibacillaceae
Also listed under: 1 other name
Description: ZMP/ZTP riboswitch aptamer (pfl RNA motif)
Rfam family: ZMP/ZTP riboswitch aptamer (pfl RNA motif)
About the family: Previously known as pfl RNA.
Source: Rfam by way of RNAcentral